This is a long non-coding RNA of Oryza brachyantha (malo sina), 489 nucleotides long. RefSeq lists it as uncharacterized. The record is from RefSeq and is a predicted model, not a curated record. The transcript is spliced from 4 exons. NCBI's taxonomy places the organism in Eukaryota, Viridiplantae, Streptophyta, Magnoliopsida, Poales, Poaceae.
AUCUGUGGUCUACUUGCCUGUGUCAGCAACAUACUUUGAAGCAAAUGCAGCUGGCAUAACAUCAUUUGUGCAUCAUUUUCAUCCUGAAAUCCCCAUCAAUGAUGAAAGGGUCGAUUGAUUUCGGCACUCUGAUACAUCUACAAGUUCUUGAAAGUUUGGUCAGGAGUCACUGCCCAGGGUCCAAUUUGUACAGUCCUUGUCAUUCUUUGUUCACAUAUUACUGUACAUGUAGAAUUGAAGGUUGCUGAUAUACUAUAAACCAGGUGAAUGAACGAUACACAAUGAGACCGCGAAGGCGAAUACAACAUAAGGAACGGAAAUGUGCAAACCAAAGAAGGGUGAAUGAACGAUACACAAUGAGACCGCGAAGGCGAAUACAACAUAAGGAACGGAAAUGUGCAAACCAAAGAAGGUAAAAGAUGAUGCCGAUGAGAGCGAUAGGCAUGGUGAAGGAGGUUUCGAUAUUUUAUAUCUCCAUUGUAGUUUAUA